UACCAAGGUGAUGAUACGUAGCCGAACUGAGAGGUUGAUCGGCCACAUUGGGACUGAGACACGGCCCAAACUCCUACGGGAGGCAGCAGUAGGGAAUCUUCCACAAUGGACGAAAGUCUGAUGGAGCAACGCCGCGUGAAUGAAGAAGGCCUUCGGGUCGUAAAAUUCUGUUGUCAGAGAAGAACGUGCGUGAGAGUAACUGUUCACGUAUUGACGGUAUCUGACCAGAAAGCCACGGCUAACUACGUGCCGGCAGCCGCGGUAAUACGUAGGUGGCGAGCGUUGUCCGGAUUUAUUGGGCGUAAAGGGAACGCAGGCGGUCUUUUAAGUCUGAUGUGAAAGCCUUCGGCUUAACCGAAGUAGUGCAUUGGAAACUGGAAGACUUGAGUGCAGAAGAGGAGAGUGGAACUCCAUGUGUAGCGGUGAAAUGCGUAGAUAUAUGGAAGAACACCAGUGGCGAAAGCGGCUCUCUGGUCUGUAACUGACGCUGAGGUUCGAAAGCGUGGGUAGCAAACAGGAUUAGAUACCCUGGUAGUCCACGCCGUAAACGAUGAGUGCUAAGUGUUGGAGGGUUUCCGCCCUUCAGUGCUGCAGCUAACGCAUUAAGCACUCCGCCUGGGGAGUACGGUCGCAAGACUGAAACUCAAAGGAAUUGACGGGGGCCCGCACAAGCGGUGGAGCAUGUGGUUUAAUUCGAAGCAACGCGAAGAACCUUACCAGGUCUUGACAUCUUCUGACAAUUCCAGAGAUGGAACGUUCCCUUCGGGGACAGAAUGACAGGUGGUGCAUGGUUGUCGUCAGCUCGUGUCGUGGGAUGUUGGGUUAAGUCCCGCAACGAGCGCAACCCUUAUUGUCAGUUGCCAUCAUUAAGUUGGGCACUCUGGCGAGACUGCCGGUGACAAACCGGAGGAAGGUGGGGAUGACGUCAAAUCAUCAUGCCCCUUAUGACCUGGGCUACACACGUGCUACAAUGGACGGUACAACGAGUCGCUAACUCGCGAGGGCAAGCUAAUCUCUUAAAGCCGUUCUCAGUUCGGAUUGCAGGCUGCAACUCGCCUGCAUGAAGUCGGAAUCGCUAGUAAUCGCGAAUCAGCAUGUCGCGGUGAAUACGUUCCCGGGCCUUGUACACACCGCCCGUCACACCAUGAGAGUUUGUAACACCCAAAGUCGGUGGGGUAACCUUUUGGAGCCAGCCGCCUAAGGUGGGACAGAUGAUUGGGGUGAAGUCGUAACAAGGUA
Molecule: ribosomal RNA, 1239 nt
Filed under: metagenome
Description: bacterial SSU rRNA
Rfam family: Bacterial small subunit ribosomal RNA
Source: RNAcentral